This 213-nucleotide long non-coding RNA is filed under the name Elaeis guineensis (African oil palm). RNAcentral describes it as "long non-coding RNA (EGUI_LNC071557)". The record is from RNAcentral. Lineage: Eukaryota; Viridiplantae; Streptophyta; Magnoliopsida; Arecales; Arecaceae.
GCGGGCUGAUGUUGUAUGUUGAUAUACUUCUGGUAUGGUUCGCAUCUUCAGACCAAAUCAGCAGCGUCCUUUUUUAUGAUGGGUCAAUAGUAACCUUGUCAUAAAAUAUUGUAGGCCAAAGACUUGCCCCCCAAGUGACUUCCGCAAAUUUCUUCAUGCACCUCCCUAAGUGUGUAGUUGGCAUCUGUCGGUCCUAAGCACUUCAACAAGAGA